Molecule: ribosomal RNA, 485 nt
Filed under: uncultured bacterium
Lineage: Bacteria
Description: partial 16S ribosomal RNA
Rfam family: Bacterial small subunit ribosomal RNA
Source: RNAcentral
AUUGAACGCUGGCGGCAGGCUUAACACAUGCAAGUCGAGCGGGGAGAUGUAGCUUGCUACAUAUCCUAGCGGCGGACGGGUGAGUAAUGCUUAGGAAUCUGCCUAUUAGUGGGGGACAACAUUCCGAAAGGAAUGCUAAUACCGCAUACGCCCUACGGGGGAAAGCAGGGGAUCUUCGGACCUUGCGCUAAUAGAUGAGCCUAAGUCGGAUUAGCUAGUUGGUGGGGUAAAGGCCUACCAAGGCGACGACCUGUAGCGGGUCUGAGAGGAUGAUCCGCCACACUGGGACUGAGACACGGCCCAGACUCCUACGGGAGGCAGCAGUGGGGAAUAUUGGACAAUGGGCGCAAGCCUGAUCCAGCCAUGCCGCGUGUGUGAAGAAGGCCUUUUGGUUGUAAAGCACGUUAAGCGAGGAGGAGGCUCCUUUAGUUAAUACCUAAAGAGAGUGGACGUUACUCGCAGAAUAAGCACCGGCUAACUCUGUG